RNAcentral lists this transfer RNA (72 nucleotides) under Cricetulus griseus (Chinese hamster). It matches the Rfam family "tRNA". From Rfam's summary of the family: Transfer RNA (tRNA) molecules are approximately 80 nucleotides in length. Their secondary structure includes four short double-helical elements and three loops (D, anti-codon, and T loops). Lineage: Eukaryota; Metazoa; Chordata; Mammalia; Rodentia; Cricetidae. The record is from Rfam by way of RNAcentral.
GUUGGUGAAGCUCAAUGGUAGAGCACUUGCCUUUGACUGCUAAGUGCCUGGGUUCAGUCCCCAGCAUCUCCA